GAGGGUGUAGCUCAGUGGUAGGGCUGCUGCUUGGCACCCAGGAGCUCCUGGGUUCCAUCCCCAGCACCUCCA
This 72-nucleotide transfer RNA is filed under the name Camelus bactrianus (Bactrian camel). It matches the Rfam family "tRNA". From Rfam's summary of the family: Transfer RNA (tRNA) molecules are approximately 80 nucleotides in length. Their secondary structure includes four short double-helical elements and three loops (D, anti-codon, and T loops). Lineage: Eukaryota; Metazoa; Chordata; Mammalia; Artiodactyla; Camelidae. RNAcentral also lists the same sequence under 2 other names. The record is from Rfam by way of RNAcentral.